This 253-nucleotide ribosomal RNA is filed under the name uncultured bacterium. RNAcentral describes it as "partial 16S ribosomal RNA". It matches the Rfam family "Bacterial small subunit ribosomal RNA", at positions 524 to 776 of the family's 1533-position model. The record is from RNAcentral.
UACGUAGGUGGCGAGCGUUGUCCGGAUUUACUGGGCGUAAAGAGCGCGCAGGCGGUCGUGCAAGUCGCGUGUGAAAGCCCCCGGCUCAACUGGGGAGGGUCACGCGAUACUGCUCGACUCGAAGACAGGAGAGGGAAGUGGAAUUCCCGGUGUAGCGGUGAAAUGCGUAGAUAUCUGGAGGAACACCGGUGGCGAAGGCGGCAUCCUGGACCGGCACUGACGCUGAGGAGCGAAAGCCAGGGGAGCAAACGGG